This 779-nucleotide ribosomal RNA is filed under the name uncultured bacterium. RNAcentral describes it as "bacterial SSU rRNA". It matches the Rfam family "Bacterial small subunit ribosomal RNA", at positions 8 to 784 of the family's 1533-position model. The record is from RNAcentral.
AGAGUUUGAUCCUGGCUCAGGAUGAACGCUAGCGGCAGGCUUAACACAUGCAAGUCGAGGGGUAACAUUGUGCUUGCACAGAUGACGACCGGCGCACGGGUGCGUAACGCGUAUAGAACCUACCUUUUACAGAGGAAUAGCCUUUAGAAAUGAAGAUUAAUGCCUCAUAGUAUUGUAGACUGGCAUCAGUUUAUAAUUAAAGAUUUAUCGGUAAAAGAUGGCUAUGCGUCCUAUUAGUUAGUUGGUAAGGUAACGGCUUACCAAGACAGCGAUAGGUAGGGGUCCUGAGAGGGAGAUCCCCCACACUGGUACUGAGACACGGACCAGACUCCUACGGGAGGCAGCAGUGAGGAAUAUUGGACAAUGGAGGAGACUCUGAUCCAGCCAUGCCGCGUGUAGGAAGAAUGCCCUAUGGGUUGUAAACUACUUUUAUACAGGAAGAAACACUGGUAUGUAUACCAGCUUGACGGUACUGUAAGAAUAAGGACCGGCUAACUCCGUGCCAGCAGCCGCGGUAAUACGGAGGGUCCGAGCGUUAUCCGGAAUCAUUGGGUUUAAAGGGUCCGCAGGCGGUCGAUUAAGUCAGAGGUGAAAUCCCAUAGCUCAACUAUGGAACUGCCUUUGAUACUGGUUGACUUGAGUCAUAUGGAAGUAGAUAGAAUGUGUAGUGUAGCGGUGAAAUGCAUAGAUAUUACACAGAAUACCGAUUGCGAAGGCAGUCUACUACGUAUGUACUGACGCUGAGGGACGAAAGCGUGGGGAGCGAACAGGAUUAGAUA